This is a non-coding RNA of Candidatus Thiomargarita nelsonii, 2896 nucleotides long. Lineage: Bacteria; Pseudomonadati; Pseudomonadota; Gammaproteobacteria; Thiotrichales; Thiotrichaceae. The record is from Rfam.
UAUUAAGCUAUUAAGAGCAUACAGUGGAUGCCUAGGCACUAGAAGGCGAUGAAAGACAUGCUAGGCUGUGAUAAGCCUCGACGAGCUGCCUAAAAAGCUUUGACUCGGGGAUUUCUGAAUGGGGAAACCUACUCUUUUAAGAGUAUUGUAAGAUGAAUAUAUAGUCUUGCAAGGCGAACGUGGGGAAUUGAAACAUCUUAGUACCCACAGGAAAAUAAAUCAAUUGAGAUUCCGUUAGUAGUGGCGAGCGAACGCGGAUCAGCCUAAACCAACAGGUUUACUUGUUGGGGUUGUGGGGCAAAUAAUGUGAAAUGGAUUGUUUAGUCGAAAGUGUUGAGAAGCGCUACCAUAGUGGGUGUUAGUCCCGUAGACGAAAGGCGAGAAGUUUUUAUUUUGUACCCAAGUAGGGCGGGGCACGUGGAAUCCUGUCUGAAUCUGGGAGGACCAUCUUCCAAGGCUAAAUACUAUCUAGUGACCGAUAGUGAAGAGUACCGUGAGGGAAAGGUGAAAAGAACCCCGGUAAGGGGAGUUAAUAGAUCUGAAACUGUAUGCUUACAAGCAGUCGGAGCGAAAGUGACGGCGUGCCUUUUGCAUAAUGAGCUAGCGAGUUAAUGUAGCGAGCAAGGUUAAGAUGUUUAGCAUCGUAGCCGUAGUGAAAGCGAGCCUUAAUAGGGCGUUUAGUUCGUUGCAUUAGACCCGAAACCCAGUGAUCUAUCCAUGAGCAGGUUGAAGCUGGGGUAAAACCUAGUGGAGGACCGAACCCGUUGUUGUUGAAAAAACUUGGGAUGACUUGUGGAUAGGAGUGAAAGGCUAAUCAAACUGGGUGAUAGCUGGUUCUCCUCGAAAUAUAUAUAGGUAUAGCCUCAUGCGUUUCUUAACAGGGGUAGAGCACUAAAUGGGCUAGGGAUCUUAACAGAUUACCAAACUCAUUUAAACUCCGAAUACUGUUAUAGAUAGCAUGGGAGACAGACUGCGGGAGAGAAGUUUCGUAGUCGAAAGGGAAAGAGCCCAGACCAUCAGCUAAGGUCCCAAAGAAUGUGCUAAGUGGAAAACGUUGUGAAAAUACAAAGACAGCCAGGAGGUUGGCUUAGAAGCAGCCAUCCUUUAAAGAAAGCGUAACAGCUCACUGGUCAAGUGUUUUUGUGCGGAAGAUGUAACGGGGCUAAAGUACAACACCGAAGCUAUGGACUUCGAAUGAAGUGGUAGAGGAGUAUUGUAGUAACCGCUGAAGAUAUGUCGCGAGAUAUGUUGGAGGAACUACAAGAGCAUAUGCUAGCAUAAGUAGCUAUAAAGCAGGUGAGAAGCCUGCUCGCCGGAAGCCCAAGGUUUCCUAGGGAAGGUUUAUCCUCCUAGGGUUAGUCGGUUCCUAAGGUGAGGUCGAAAGGCGUAAUCGAUGGAAAACAGGUUAAUAUUCCUGUACUUGGUAGUGGAGUGAUGUAGGGGUGAAGAAGGGUAGCUAGGCCAGUUAUUGGAUUCUGGUGCAAGCAUGUAGAAAGGCUCUCUAGGAAAAUCCGGAGAGUUAUUUUUGAGGUGUUAUGCGUCACAAGCUAGUGAUCCCAUGCUUACAAGAAAAGCUACUAAACAAUGAAGCUAUUAAGCCGUACCGCAAACCAACACAGGUGGGCGAGGAGAGUAUCCUAAGGCGAUUGGGUUAAAUGAGGUUAAGGAACUCGGCAAAUUGACACUGUAACUUCGGGAUAAGGUGUGCCAGUGAUGUGAAGAGAUUUACUCUCGGAGCAUGAUCUGGUUACAAAAAAGAGGGGGUAGCGACUGUUUAGCAAAAACAUAGCACUAUGCAAAUUUGUAAAAAGACGUAUAUGGUGUGACGCCUGCCCAGUGCUGGAAGGUUAAAAGGAGAGGUCAGCGAAAGCGAAGCUUUGAAUUGAAGCCCCAGUAAACGGCGGCCGUAACUAUAACGGUCCUAAGGUAGCGAAAUUCCUUGUCGGGUAAGUUCCGACCUGCACGAAUGGCGUAACGACUUCCCCACUGUCUCAACCUCAUGCCCAGUGAAAUUGAAAAGCGGGUGAAGAUGCCCGCUACCCGCAGCAAGACGGAAAGACCCCGUGAACCUUUACUAUAGCUUGAUAUGGAUAUUCGGGUUGAUUUGUGUAGAAUAGGUGGGAGGCUUUGAAGAGAUGACGCUAGUUGUCUUUGAGCCGACAAUGAAAUACCACCCUAAUUGAUUUGGUUAUCUAACCUAACUCCGUGAUCCGGAGUAGGGACAAUGUCUGGUGGUUAGUUUGACUGGGGCGGUCGCCUCCCAAAGAGUAACGGAGGCGUGCAAUGGUUCCCUCAAGCCGGAUAGAAAUCGGCUUUAGAGUGCAAAGGCAUAAGGGAGCUUGACUGCAAGAGUGACAGCUCGAGCAGGUACGAAAGUAGGUCUUAGUGACCCGGUGGCUCCGAAUGGAAGGGCCAUCGCUCAUCGGAUAAAAGGUACUCCGGGGAUAACAGGCUAAUCUCCUCCAAGAGUUCACAUCGACGAGGAGGUUUGGCACCUCGAUGUCGGCUCAUCACAUCCUGGGGCUGAAGCAGGUCCCAAGGGUUUGGCUGUUCGCCAAUUAAAGUGGUACGCGAGCUGGGUUCAGAACGUCGUGAGACAGUUCGGUCCCUAUCUGCUGUGGGCGUAGGAAAUUUGAGAGGAUCUGACCUUAGUACGAGAGGACCGGGUUGGACGCACCUCUGGUGUACCAGUUGUUCCGCCAGGAGCAUCGCUGGGUAGCUAUGUGCGGACGGGAUAACCGCUGAAAGCAUCUAAGUGGGAAGCCUACCUCAAGAUAAGAUUUCCCGUGUUUAUCACAUGAAGGCCGGUUUUAGACCAAGACGUUGAUAGGCUGGAGGUGGAAGUACAGUAAUGUAUGGAGCUGACCAGUACUAAUUGGCCGUUUGGCUUAAUAUA